UAUUUUUAAUUUUUCCGACCAACUAAACAUUAUUAUUGAUAUUAAUUUAAUAAAACAGGAUAAUUUAUUUCAUAAAGUUCGUAAAGGUUGACGAAAAAGGCUGAAUACAUUGAAGGAAUGACAUAGAAAUGUCGAAUACAUGCAUUGUUGACAAAAAUUGAAAUUGAGAGGUCGACUUCGUUGAACUUUUUUUCUUAUAUUAUAUUGUUUUGGUUGGAGGAAUUUGAAAACAUGACUGUAACGACAUUAUUUAUUUUUAUUUGAAAAAUAGUAUCAAAUGUUGGGUGUCUUGUAACAUGUUUUUUUAGGAAAAU
This 314-nucleotide long non-coding RNA is filed under the name Brassica napus (rape). Its description in RNAcentral is "long non-coding RNA (BNAP_LNC007290)". Lineage: Eukaryota; Viridiplantae; Streptophyta; Magnoliopsida; Brassicales; Brassicaceae. The record is from RNAcentral.